RNAcentral lists this ribosomal RNA (425 nucleotides) under uncultured bacterium. RNAcentral describes it as "partial 16S ribosomal RNA". It matches the Rfam family "Bacterial small subunit ribosomal RNA", at positions 354 to 796 of the family's 1533-position model. The record is from RNAcentral.
GUGGGGAAUAUUGGACAAUGGGCGAAAGCCUGAUCCAGCAAUGCCGCGUGAGUGAAGAAGGCCUUAGGGUUGUAAAGCUCUUUUACCCGGGAUGAUAAUGACAGUACCGGGAGAAUAAGCUCCGGCUAACUCCGUGCCAGCAGCCGCGGUAAUACGGAGGGAGCUAGCGUUGUUCGGAAUCACUGGGCGUAAAGCGCACGUAGGCGGCUUUGUAAGUUAGAGGUGAAAGCCCGGGGCUCAACUCCGGAACUGCCUUUAAGACUACAUCGCUUGAAUCUGGGAGAGGUGAGUGGAAUUCCGAGUGUAGAGGUGAAAUUCGUAGAUAUUCGGAAGAACACCAGUGGCGAAGGCGGCUCACUGGACCAGAAUUGACGCUGAGGUGCGAAAGCGUGGGGAGCAAACAGGAUUAGAUACCCUAGUAGUCC